RNAcentral lists this ribosomal RNA (253 nucleotides) under uncultured bacterium. RNAcentral describes it as "partial 16S ribosomal RNA". It matches the Rfam family "Bacterial small subunit ribosomal RNA", at positions 524 to 776 of the family's 1533-position model. The record is from RNAcentral.
UACGAAGGGUGCAAGCGUUACUCGGAAUCACGGGGCGUAAAGCGUGCGUAGGCGGUUGGUUAAGUCUGCUGUGAAAGCCCUGGGCUCAACCUGGGAACUGCAGUGGAUACUGGCCAGCUCGAGUGUGAUAGAGGAUGGUGGAAUUCCCGGUGUAGCGGUGAAAUGCGUAGAGAUCGGGAGGAACACCAGUGGCGAAGGCGGCCAUCUGGAUCAACACUGACGCUGAGGCACGAAAGCGUGGGGAGCAAACAGG